This is a long non-coding RNA of Lolium rigidum, 502 nucleotides long. RefSeq lists it as uncharacterized. Lineage: Eukaryota; Viridiplantae; Streptophyta; Magnoliopsida; Poales; Poaceae. The transcript is spliced from 3 exons. The record is from RefSeq and is a predicted model, not a curated record.
CCCCUCGUCUUCCACGCGAGGCAUCUCCUUGGCCGCCAUAUCCGGCGCCAUCCACCACGAGGCCGCUCCGUCCUGGCCGUCUCAUCUCGCCGGAAAAAGGCCGCACCCGCCACAGCCGGUCAAUGAUUUUAUUCACAUCCCAUGGAGACGAAAACCAAAUUCAUCAUGGUGUAAUUGUGAUGAUCCAAAUGAGUACUUCAGGAUAUGAGGGGUAUAGCUCAGGACCACGUCCCUAGCAGCCACCACGCUGCUGAUGUCAUUGGAGAGGUCGCCGUUGUAGUUGUGCUGCUUGGCCAUGGACAACCUCAAGCACGAGGUGACCAGGAUGGACACACUCGCGCACAUCACCUUCAAGUAUGGAGUUGAGAUAAUUCUAAUCCCUACACCCAUGAUGUUGUUGUCUGGUUGCUGCAUCAUUUUAUUGCUCAAUGCAAGGAACUAUGUAUGGAAUACCAAUUGUUCAGUCCAGCUGUCAGAAAUUAUGAUAUGGAGUGUCUCUUAA